Molecule: ribosomal RNA, 254 nt
Filed under: uncultured bacterium
Lineage: Bacteria
Description: partial 16S ribosomal RNA
Rfam family: Bacterial small subunit ribosomal RNA
Source: RNAcentral
UACGGAGGGUGCAAGCGUUAUCCGGAUUCACUGGGUUUAAAGGGUGCGUAGGUGGGUUGGUAAGUCAGUGGUGAAAUCUCCGUGCUUAACAUGGAAACUGCCAUUGAUACUACUGAUCUUGAAUUUUCGGGAGGUAAGCGGAAUAUGUCAUGUAGCGGUGAAAUGCUUAGAUAUGACAUAGAACACCAAUUGCGAAGGCAGCUUACUACAGGAAUAUUGACACUGAGGCACGAAAGCGUGGGAGUCAAACAGGA